RNAcentral lists this ribosomal RNA (918 nucleotides) under Betta hipposideros. RNAcentral describes it as "partial 16S ribosomal RNA". The stretch from base 158 to 658 matches the Rfam family "Bacterial large subunit ribosomal RNA", at positions 573 to 1301 of the family's 2925-position model. The record is from RNAcentral. Lineage: Eukaryota; Metazoa; Chordata; Actinopteri; Anabantiformes; Osphronemidae.
UUAUUAAUAUCCCCAAAAGCAUUUAAUAUUUAAUUAAACAAACCAUUUUCCCCCCUAAGUAUGGGCGACAGAAAAGAAACAUUCAGAGCCAUAGAAAAAGUACCGCAAGGGAAUGCUGAAAAAGAAAUGAAACAACCCAGUAAAGUUCAAAAAAGCAGAGACUUACACUCGUACCUUUUGCAUCAUGAUUUAGUCAGUACAAACAAGCAAAAUGUACUUUAGUUUGUCUCCCCGAAACUAAGUGAGCUACUCCAAGACAGCCUAAAAUAGGGCUAACCCGUCUCUGUGGCAAAAGAGUGGGGUGAGCUUAGAGUAGAGGUGAUAAACCUACCGAACUUAGUUAUAGCUGGUUGCCUGAGAAAUGAAUAGAAGUUCAGCUUUUUGGUUUCUCCCCCCAACUCGCUUAACUACAACCGAGCCAAAGAAACCAAAAAAGUUAGUUAAAGGGGGUACAGCUCCUUUAAACAAGAUACAACUUCACCAGCCGGGUAAAGAUCACACAUAAUCAAGGUAAAAUAUUUUAGUGGGCCUAAAAGCAGCCACCUAUAAAAAGCGUCAAAGCUUAUUCAUACCACCACCCUCAAAUUCAGAUAAUACACCCUAAACCCACUAAUUUUACCAAGCCGCCCCAUGCUGUCAUGGGGGUGAUUAUGCUAAAAUGAGUAAUAAGAAAAAUCACUUUUUCUCCUUGCAUUCGUGUAAAUCGAAACGGACCUCCCAUCGAACAUUAAUCGGCCCCAAAAAAAGAGGGCAAUGAACUAUCAACCCCAUACAAGAAAAACACCCAAAUAUCAACCGUUAACCUCACACUAACAUGCUUACAAGGAAAGACUAAAAGAAAAAGAAGGAACUCGGCAAAUACAAGCCUCGCCUGUUUACCAAAAACAUCGCCUCUUGAAAACUAAACAUAAGAGGUCC